GCCAAGCGUUCAUAGCGACGUUGCUUU
RNAcentral lists this small nuclear RNA (27 nucleotides) under Arabidopsis thaliana (thale cress). RNAcentral's name for it is "snRNA_14054". Lineage: Eukaryota; Viridiplantae; Streptophyta; Magnoliopsida; Brassicales; Brassicaceae. The record is from RNAcentral.